GCUACAGGCUUAACACAUGCAAGUCGAGGGGCAGCAUGGUCUUAGCUUGCUAAGGCCGAUGGCGACCGGCGCACGGGUGAGUAACGCGUAUCCAACCUGCCUUACACUCUUGGACAGCCUUCUGAAAGGGAGAUUAAUACAAGAUGUUAUCAUGAGUAAGCAUUUUCGCAUGAUUAAAGGUUUACCGGUGUAAGAUGGGGAUGCGUUCCAUUAGAUAGUAGGCGGGGUAACGGCCCACCUAGUCUUCGAUGGAUAGGGGUUCUGAGAGGAAGGUCCCCCACAUUGGAACUGAGACACGGUCCAAACUCCUACGGGAGGCAGCAGUGAGGAAUAUUGGUCAAUGGACGAGAGUCUGAACCAGCCAAGUAGCGUGAAGGAUGAAGGUUCUAUGGAUUGUAAACUUCUUUUAUACGGGAAUAAACGAAUCCACGUGUGGAUUUUUGCAUGUACCGUAUGAAUAAGGAUCGGCUAACUCCGUGCCAGCAGCCGCGGUAAUACGGAGGAUCCGAGCGUUAUCCGGAUUUAUUGGGUUUAAAGGGAGCGUAGAUGGGUUGUUAAGUCAGUUGUGAAAGUUUGCGGCUCAACCGUAAAAUUGCAAUUGAUACUGGCAGUCUUGAGUACAGUUGAGGUAGGCGGAAUUCGUGGUGUAGCGGUGAAAUGCUUAGAUAUCACGAAGAACUCCGAUUGCGAAGGCAGCUUACUAACCUGUAACUGACAUUGAUGCUCGAAAGUGUGGGUAUCAAACAGGAUUAGAUACCCUGGUAGUCCACACGGUAAACGAUGAAUACUCGCUGUAGGCGAUAUACAGUCUGCGGCCAAGCGAAAGCAUUAAGUAUUCCACCUGGGGAGUACGCCGGCAACGGUGAAACUCAAAGGAAUUGACGGGGGCCCGCACAAGCGGAGGAACAUGUGGUUUAAUUCGAUGAUACGCGAGGAACCUUACCCGGGCUUAAAUUGCAACCGAAUAUGGCGGAAACGCUAUAGCUAGCAAUAGCGGUUGUGAGGGUGCUGCAUGGUUGUCGUCAGCUCGUGCCGUGAGGUGUCGGCUUAAGUGCCAUAACGAGCGCAACCCUUGCCGAUAGUUACUAACAGGUCAUGCUGAGGACUCUGUCGGGACUGCCAUCGUAAGAUGUGAGGAAGGUGGGGAUGACGUCAAAUCAGCACGGCCCUUACGUCCGGGGCUACACACGUGUUACAAUGGGGGGUACAGAGGGCUGCUACCACGCAAGUGGAUGCCAAUCCCAAAAACCUCUCUCAGUUCGGAUUGAAGUCUGCAACCCGACUUCAUGAAGCUGGAUUCGCUAGUAAUCGCGCAUCAGCCACGGCGCGGUGAAUACGUUCCCGGGCCUUGUACACACCGCCCGUCAAGCCAUGGGAGCCGGGGGUACCUGAAGUGCGUAACCGCAAGGAGCGCCCUAGGGUAAAACUGGUGACUGGGGCUAAGUCAUAACA
RNAcentral lists this ribosomal RNA (1452 nucleotides) under uncultured organism. RNAcentral describes it as "SSU rRNA". It matches the Rfam family "Bacterial small subunit ribosomal RNA". The record is from RNAcentral.